This 77-nucleotide transfer RNA is filed under the name SAR116 cluster bacterium. RNAcentral describes it as "tRNA-Pro". It matches the Rfam family "tRNA". From Rfam's summary of the family: Transfer RNA (tRNA) molecules are approximately 80 nucleotides in length. Their secondary structure includes four short double-helical elements and three loops (D, anti-codon, and T loops). The record is from RNAcentral. Lineage: Bacteria; Pseudomonadati; Pseudomonadota; Alphaproteobacteria; Puniceispirillales (SeqCode).
CGGAGUGUAGCGCAGUCUGGUAGCGCACUUUACUGGGGGUGAAGGGGUCGUGGGUUCGAAUCCCGCCACUCCGACCA